Non-coding RNA from Salmo salar (Atlantic salmon), 54 nucleotides. The record is from Rfam. NCBI's taxonomy places the organism in Eukaryota, Metazoa, Chordata, Actinopteri, Salmoniformes, Salmonidae.
UAUGGACUCUACUGUAAGUCGCUCUGGAAAAGAGUGUCUGCUAAAUUACUAAAA